RNAcentral lists this transfer RNA (64 nucleotides) under Hapsodrilus ignifer. RNAcentral's name for it is "tRNA-Pro". Lineage: Eukaryota; Metazoa; Arthropoda; Insecta; Coleoptera; Elateridae. The record is from RNAcentral.
CAGAGAAUAGUUUAAAUAAAAUAUUAAUUUUGGAGAUUAAUGAUAAGAUGGGUCUUUUCUCUGA